Molecule: ribosomal RNA, 339 nt
Filed under: uncultured Pseudomonadota bacterium
Lineage: Bacteria; Pseudomonadati; Pseudomonadota
Description: bacterial SSU rRNA
Rfam family: Bacterial small subunit ribosomal RNA
Source: RNAcentral
AACGAACGCUGGCGGCGUGCCUAACACAUGCAAGUCGUGCGAGAAAGUUCCUUCGGGAGCGAGUAAAGCGGCGCACGGGUGAGUAACACGUAGGUAACCUGCCCCCAAGUCUGGAACAACUGGAGGAAACUCCAGCUAAUGCCGGAUGAGACCACGAUCCCCUCGGGGGUUGUGGCCAAAGAUGGCCUCUGCUUGCAAGCUAUCGCUCGGGGAUGGGCCUGCGGGCCAUUAGCUAGUUGGUGAGGUAACGGCUCACCAAGGCAGUGAUGGCUAGCUGGUCUGAGAGGAUGACCAGCCACACUGGGACUGAGACACGGCCCAGACUCCUACGGGUGGCUG